Molecule: long non-coding RNA, 1997 nt
Organism: Anguilla rostrata (American eel)
Lineage: Eukaryota; Metazoa; Chordata; Actinopteri; Anguilliformes; Anguillidae
Exons: 2
Source: RefSeq, a predicted model, not a curated record
CGGACUAUAAAUCACCGCCCAGGGAUUCAAUUCCUCUCCCCAAAGCUGUUCUGUACCUGGUCAUGGCAGCGUUGGUGGUGGUCGCAGUGGCAUACGCAAUUGUUGGACAUCUGGUCAAGGAUCUCGUCCAUGACUUCCUUGACUGGGUGUUUGGUCCUCGUCCCGCCAACAACAGCAGUAAAAGCGACAUAAACUGUAUCACCAGCAGCCUGAAUCAAAUAAGCGAGAUGAGCGAGCGACCGAGUUUAGUGGAAAUGGCCUACAUUUCCCAUAAUCACAAUAGCUGCCUGGAGACCGCCAAACACGAAGAGCUCGUUCUUACCAUAGAUGAAACGCCGCAACUACCUCAAGAACCUUACAGCGGCACUUAAACGUUUGUUUAGCUAUACAGUGUUUUUGGGGACAAGAAGCCAGGUUACUUGUGUUUCUUUUACCAGUGCACCGGCCCAGUAAGUUAUGAUUGAAUUCAGCAUGCGGUGUCAUUGCUCAUAGCGGCACUGCAUAUGGAGGUCUUUCAUUCAGCUGGGGUUUGAAUGCUUGGGAAAUAGGACGUGGUAACUCGGUGAUCAAAUGGGGCACUGAUUUGCAUGGAUGUCUAGACAUAUUCGAGGACUGGAUUUGCACCCAACUUUUCAGAAGGGAUUCUGAAGAUAUGCACACUCAUGUGAUGUGACAGCACUGCAUUGUCUGGAUUUGUGUUGACAUUAUUCAGAGUUCAUUAUUCAAGAAUUUUUUAUGUGAUUGCUCGUAUUGCACAUCUUUAAAUGUUAACAAAGUAUUAAAUGAGUCAUUACAUAAUUCACUCUGACACAGCCAUACGAAGCUUUGGCAUAUUACAUACACUAAAGACUGACAGUUUAUGGUAAUAUUUUAUUCACUUUGAUGUUUUUCCAUAAGAUCCCUUUGAUUAACAUUAAAGCAUCAAUGAUGUUACAGUUCAUAUUUGGAACUACCACAAUGUACUUUAAAAUACCGAAGUCCAAAUACUUUUAAAAUUCACAUUAUCCACCACAAGGUGGAGUAUUGCACAAAAAAAUGAACUCUCAAAUAUAAAGAAAAUAAUUAAAAGUGCGAAUUUCAUUGCUUCCUCAGAUGAAGAUGCCUCGUGCAGUAUAUAAUUUAACCAGUAAUAUAAAUAUUUAAUUGUAUUCUCCAGCACUUUAAAAGCAUACAGGUAUCUUUUUCCUGUUUUUUACAACUUUGGUAUAUUAUAAUUAUUAAUACGAUCACAUUGAUAAUGGCAUUGCAAAAAAACAGAUUGGCAGCUUUAAAGUUUUUGUAAGUAACUUAAAUUUUUUGUUAACUUAAUUGAGUAAGUUUCUGGUACUGGCUAUUAUUAUUAUUAUUAUUAUUAUUCCUCAUUCAGUAGUUUAGGUUCUUUACUAACAUGUUACAUUCACAGAAAAUCCACCUGCUCAUGCUACAGUGUAUGCCAUCAUGCUUUUUCCCUGGUUUCGCCAUUCACCUUGGUUUUUUCAGUUGUCAAAAUGAUCUGAUCUGUUCUGUCAACAAUGCUCAUUCAGAAAUCACAAAUUAAUGUGUGCUGUUGGUUAUUUUCUCUAGAAAUGGCAGAAACAGAAGCAUAAUUAUAGUAAGAAAGAGCGGCUCUUGAAAAGAAGAUAUAAAAACCAAAAAACAGAUGUUUCAAGGUUAUGUUGAAAUAUAAGAUUUUUGAGGAAAAGUUAAAGUGAUAUAUAUUUUUACUCCUAUACAAGGGCUUUUGGCUGUCAUCUAGGUGAGAAUUAUUUCAAUGUGCAUUGGAAAAGGUGAGAUUCACUGGGAUUUGAGCUGAGCGCAAUCACAUGAUUUCCCAUGCUGUAUGUACAGUACUGGACAGCUGGAUCUCUCGUGAUGAGUAUGUGGUGACAGCAUGGGGCAGAGUGACAUUAGGCUUAACACUGAUCCCAUCUCGGCAAACUGUACCAUUCCUGUGAUCUUUGUGCUUGUAACUUGUGUAGUUCAGUGUCAACACAUUACAGACAAAAAUUUUAAAAAUA